ACGAGUUUGUAUCCUGGCUCAGGAUGAACGCUGCGGCGUGCUUAACACAUGCAAGUGAACGGACUCAUAUUGAACCUAGUGAUGUAUGAGUUAGUGGCGGACGGGUGAGUAACGACGUGGAGAACCUACCGUAUACUGGGGGAUAACACUUAGAAAUAGGUGCUAAUACCGCAUAAGCGCACAGCUUCGCAUGAAGCAGUGUGAAAAACUCCGGUGGUAUACGAUGGAUCCGCGUCUGAUUAGCUGGUUGGCGGGGUAAAGGCCCACCAAGGCGACGAUCAGUAGCCGGCCUGAGAGGGUGAACGGCCACAUUGGGACUGAGACACGGCCCAAACUCCUACGGGAGGCAGCAGUGGGGAAUAUUGCACAAUGGGGGAAACCCUGAUGCAGCGACGCCGCGUGAGUGAAGAAGUAUUUCGGUAUGUAAAGCUCUAUCAGCAGGGAAGAAAAUGACGGUACCUGACUAAGAAGCCCCGGCUAACUACGCG
Molecule: ribosomal RNA, 488 nt
Filed under: uncultured Lachnospiraceae bacterium
Lineage: Bacteria; Bacillati; Bacillota; Clostridia; Lachnospirales; Lachnospiraceae
Description: bacterial SSU rRNA
Rfam family: Bacterial small subunit ribosomal RNA
Source: RNAcentral